RNAcentral lists this ribosomal RNA (500 nucleotides) under uncultured bacterium. Its description in RNAcentral is "partial 16S ribosomal RNA". It matches the Rfam family "Bacterial small subunit ribosomal RNA", at positions 30 to 523 of the family's 1533-position model. The record is from RNAcentral.
AUUGAACGCUGGCGGCAUGCUUUACACAUGCAAGUCGAACGGUAACAGGGUGCUUGCACCGCUGACGAGUGGCGAACGGGUGAGUAAUGCGUCGGAACGUGCCGAGUAGUGGGGGAUAACGCAGCGAAAGUUGUGCUAAUACCGCAUACGUACUGAGGUAGAAAGUGGGGGACCUUCGGGCCUCACGCUAUUCGAGCGGCCGACGUCUGAUUAGCUAGUAGGUGAGGUAAAGGCUCACCUAGGCGACGAUCAGUAGCGGGUUUGAGAGGAUGAUCCGCCACACGGGGACUGAGACACGGCCCAGACUCCGACGGGAGGCAGCGGUGGGGUAUUUUGGACAAGGGGGGAAAGCCUGAUCCAGCCAUGCCGCGUGUCUGAAGAAGGCCUUCGGGUUGUAAAGGACUUUUGUCAGGGAGGAAAUCCCUAGUGCUAAUAACACUGGGGGAUGACAGUACCUGAAGAAUAAGCACCGGCUAACUACGUGCCAGCAGCCGCAGUAA